CCAUUCUUCAUGUGCUGAGGUCCUAGGGUUCUGAGGGGUUCUCAUGCAAGCCAAGGAGUUCAACUCACUAGAAUUCUCUGGACAUGGGGGCAGGUUUUUGGAGGCAACUGGAAGUGGAGGAAAAUGGUUGUCAACUCAAACUGCUCCCAAAUAGCAAUGCCCACCAAGGGAGAAUGGACUUUAAGGGAGAAACAGUCUUGGACCACGUGCUGUGCUGACUGGCAGGUGAAGGCACGCCGAUCCGCCUUCUCCCUCUGGGAUCUGGCAGUUAAAGUUGCAGGUAUUGUCCCUUGGAUCCAUCAUACGAGGGUGAAGAGAACAUGCCACGCAGAUCCAAAAAACACUGAGUGGACUGCACAGAGGGACCCCGCUGACCCUCGAGAGACAAAGACCAUCCUGAAGAAGGAGGAAAAGAAGAUCCUGGACGAGCCCCUUCAGGAUGAAGCCGCACAAUCAACUCCUGCUGCUUGGCCUCAUCAACGUAAUUUUGAAUUUAACUUCCCUUUCAACUCAGGACAAUGUUUUCAUCUCAUGGGCACCUUCCUACGCAGACUUCCACAACACUUCCAACUGCUGGGCAGAUCUUAGGACCACAGACCAUUCAUCCAUCAACAGACAAGAGAAUAGAGAUGAGGAGAGAAAGGUCUCCUCUCCAAGGAACUUCCUGACAAACACACAGAUGUCUACCGUGCAGCGGAGGCAAGAAUUAGAGGAGAGGCCUGUGCCCUUGCUGGAAUGGAGAAUGUGAAGCCCAGGUAAGUCCACCUGCCAGGAGAGCAAAAAUAACAGACAAUGGCAUUCUAGGCAGAGAAGAGGAUGGAUAUCUAUUGUGUACAGUUUUAUAGCAUAUAUAUGUAUAAUAAAGGAAAUAAAGGCGUAGAAGCAAGACGGAGCAUGGGGUGUUAGAAAACAGCACGGAAUCUGACAUAGCAGGCACCCAAAGUGAAUGUAAGGGCAAGAGCGGCCCCUGGAGGUGGGCAGGGCUAGGCCCUGAAGGUUCCGGUAGGCCUCUGUCUCAGGUGGGCUCCCCUACAGUCAGCCCCCGGAGACAAGGUGAGUGGACUAGGGACAGA
RNAcentral lists this long non-coding RNA (1073 nucleotides) under Capra hircus (goat). Its description in RNAcentral is "lncRNA (ENSCHIG00000008064.1)". Lineage: Eukaryota; Metazoa; Chordata; Mammalia; Artiodactyla; Bovidae. The record is from RNAcentral.